RNAcentral lists this ribosomal RNA (253 nucleotides) under uncultured bacterium. RNAcentral describes it as "partial 16S ribosomal RNA". It matches the Rfam family "Bacterial small subunit ribosomal RNA", at positions 524 to 776 of the family's 1533-position model. The record is from RNAcentral.
UACGUAGGGGGCAAGCGUUGUCCGGAUUCAUUGGGCGUAAAGAGCGUGUAGGCGGCCAGGUAGGUCGGUUGUGAAAACUGGAGGCUCAACCUUCAGAGGUCGACCGAAACCAUCUGGCUAGAGUCCGGGAGAGGAGAGUGGAAUUCCUGGUGUAGCGGUGAAAUGCGCAGAUAUCAGGAGGAACACCAAUAGCGAAGGCAGCUCGCUGGGACGAUACUGACGCUAAGGCGCGAAAGCGUGGGGAGCGAACAGG